This 465-nucleotide ribosomal RNA is filed under the name uncultured bacterium. Its description in RNAcentral is "partial 16S ribosomal RNA". It matches the Rfam family "Bacterial small subunit ribosomal RNA", at positions 28 to 507 of the family's 1533-position model. The record is from RNAcentral.
GACGAACGCUGGCGGCGUGCUUAACACAUGCAAGUCGAACGGAAAGGCCCUGCUUGCAGGGUACUCGAGUGGCGAACGGGUGAGUAACACGUGGGUGAUCUGCCCUUCACUUCGGGAUACGCCUGGGAAACUGGGUCUAAUACCGGAUAGGAGCCAUUUUUAGUGUGAUGGUUGGAAAGUUUUUUCGGUGUAGGAUGAGCUCGCGGCCUAUCAGCUUGUUGGUGGGGUAAUGGCCUACCAAGGCGGCGACGGGUAGCCGGCCUGAGAGGGUGGACGGCCACAUUGGGACUGAGAGACGGCCCAGACUCCUACGGGAGGCAGCAGUGGGGAAUAUUGCACAAUGGGCGCAAGCCUGAUGCAGCGACGCCGCGUGGGGGAUGACGGCCUUCGGGGUGUAAACGCCUUGCGCUAGGGACGAAGCUUUUUGUGACGGUACCUAGAUAAGAAGCACCGGCUAACUACGUG